This 253-nucleotide ribosomal RNA is filed under the name uncultured bacterium. RNAcentral describes it as "partial 16S ribosomal RNA". It matches the Rfam family "Bacterial small subunit ribosomal RNA", at positions 524 to 776 of the family's 1533-position model. The record is from RNAcentral.
UACAGAGGUCUCAAGCGUUGUCCGGAUUCAUUGGGCGUAAAGGGUGCGUAGGCGGCGCGUUGAGUCGGGUGUGAAAUCUCGGAGCUUAACUCCGAAACUGCAUUCGAUACUGCCGUGCUUGAGGACUGGAGAGGAGACUGGAAUUUACGGUGUAGCGGUGAAAUGCGUAGAUAUCGUAAGGAAGACCAGUGGCGAAGGCGGGUCUCUGGACAGUACCUGACGCUGAGGCGCGAAGGCCAGGGGAGCAAACGGG